CACCUUUCUCAUCACGCUCAAUCUCUCUCUCUUCUCUCUCUCUCUCUCGACACAAAAGAAACCCAAAAGUUGGAUCUAUAUACUCUCCACAUGUUUGCUUAAAGAGAAGCUGAAGGGAGACAAAAACAUCAUUUUUGUAUCUACAGAAGCCAUGUUCAUCACAAGGAAUCAAGCCAUUGGCCUUCUGUUGAUUUUCUUGGGCAUCUCCGGCUUGCGCAACGACUGCGUUUCCGGAGCUAGAUGUUUAAACGAGAAGGUGGAGAAUCUGGGGAAGCCUCGAGUUUUCAACUCAACAGGAGAAGAUGAAGGUUUUUUUGCCACAAGCAACAGAAAAGUGCCUUCUUCUCCUGACCCAUUGCACAAUAGGUAGGUUUUCCAGAACAACACAAAUAUCUUGCUUGGAAGCUACCUGUACAUAAAACCUACCUAUAUUGCCAAGAAAGUUCAGACAUUUUUUGUACUUUUAGGACCUUUUUUUUUAUUUAUUUUUAUUUUAUUUUAUAUAUACAAUGUAUUUUGAGAACCUUAGGUUUAUAGGUUUACAAGAAAUUAUAUGUUUUUGGCCUCUGGUAAAUGUGAGUGUUGUUACUGCAAAUUCGAAAGUAUAAAUAUCAUCUCCAGCAUAUGGCUUUUAUCAACCAAGUCGAACCCAAUUGGGAAAAGUUCUUUUAAGAGUAACAAAUAUGAUAAAAGCUUAUUGGUUUGAUUGAAGGGAAUUAAUACUAUUGAUUAACUUAGCUAUUGUUCAGGGAAAAUCUAGUCAUCAGUCAAUUCAUAACAAUCUUUGUAAAGUAAGGGGCGAAGCUUCGUAGACAACUUCCCUCCGUCAUUGCUUUUGCUGAAGCUGCGAGUUCAUGAGCAAGUGAAUGAACGAGCCAUGUUCCUAAAAGGAGUGACCAUCUUUGUGUUUUCUUCCCUUCCCACCCCUCAAAGCCCUAUUUUAGUAGACUAAGCUUGUAACCGCAACAUAUUUAAGUAGGCUCGCAACUUCGCUCAGCGGAAUGGCCUUAAUAUUAUAUUCAUAAAACACUUUUUUCAAAUCCCAACAAUAAUUCUUACAUGUACCUAAAGAUAUAAACUUUUUUUUUAUCUCACUCAUUAUGUGACUUUUUCAUAUAUGUAAUGUGAAAGGGAAAAGGGAUAUAAAAUCAUAUUAUACAUCCUCAAUUCCAAUUAACAAAACUAUGGGUGGCUUUGAUGUUGGAUACAUAAAAUAAUAGAAGCAACCAUACAAAGUAGGGAAAUAGACAAAAGAUCAUAUGAGCUGGGAAAUGGGAAUCUCCAUGUCAUAUUGUGGACGAGAAAGAUAAUCUAAAAAUUGAUGCUUCAAAAUCAUAGCUCUUUUGACUUCGACAGCAUAGCAAGAUUGCAAAUACAAUAAUUUCCACGAUUUUGAUCCUAAUCAUGCAAAAAAUUGAACAAUACUUGGCUACUUAAAGGUGAGUAGGAACUUCUACUCAAAACUUUUAGUGUUUUAAUCACAGAGUUUUGUGCCUAUGAUCAGAACCGUAUAUACUAUUAAUCACAUUGUAAAGAUCAUCUCUGCAAAAAAAAUAGAUUAAAACUAAGGUCAUCUAGUUAAUCUAUUGUAGCAAAUACAUAGAAAGUUUGUAAUGCUUUUACCAAUACCGUUCAUUUGUUUUUAAACAGUUUGAUGACUAAACAGCCUUAGUUUUAAUUGAUAUUUUGCAGAGGCGAUCUUUAUAGGGUGAUUUAUAAUAUGAACGGUUCUGAUUAUAACACAAACUAAUAUAAAUUGACAACGAACAAUUUUGAGAAAUUUUGAAUAAGAGUUCAUACUUAUCUUUGAAUAACCAAGUAUUGUACCAAAAAAAUUUCCAAUUUGUGGGCUCAAAGCAAAAAAAUCAAUUAAAACUAAGGUCGUUUAGUCAUCGAAAAAUAUAAAAACAAAUGAACGGAAUUGAUAAAAACAUUAUGAACCGUGUAUGUAUUUGCUACAAUAGUUUUACUAAACGACCUUAGUUUUAAUUAAUUUUUUGCAGAGAUAAUCUUUACAGAGUGAUUCAUAAUAUGAACGGUUCUGAUCGUAAGCACAAAGCUCUAUGAUUUAAACAUAAAACUUUUAAGUAGGAGCUCUUACUUAGAUUUGAGUACCCAAGCAUUGUUCAAUUGAAUAUCAACAAUAUAAUGAUGAAAGUAGACUGGCUUUUUGGAAUAUUAAAGGUUGGAACGGAGUCUAACGUUACGAUCUCUAAUACUUUUGGUUCGAAGAAGCUUAGGAUUUUCUCCAAUAUCUCUACUAAUUAAUAAAACUCUCUUUGUCAAUCAAAAGAGGGUGAAAAGACAAAUUAGUCUUCUAUCACACAAAAAAAAAAUGAUGGGCAAUAUCACCACUACAAUAUACCUUAUUAGUGGCGAAGCAAACACCGACAAGAAACCCAAUUUAUGUCGGAAAUUUAGCAAAAAUCCGACAUAAAACAAUGUAAUGUCGGAUUGGAAUAGCGACACUAAUACUGGCGUCACAAAAGGGCUUCAGUGUCGGUUUGUACGCUUAAUCCGCCAGUACGCAGUGUCGGUUAAAAGCGACACUGACACUGAUGUCGGUUUAAAGCGACGCAAAUUUCAACAUUACGUCGGUUUAAAGCGAUGCUAAUUACCAAUUUAAUUAUAAAAUAUCCAAACUACCAUCGGUUUUGACCGACAUUACAUAACAUAUGGAUACAUAAAAUAAUUAUUAUGAUGUUGUUCAUAAGCGACACCAAAUAUAUUAAUAAUAAUAAUAAAUCAUUUUCCGUUUUUAAUUAAUAAUAAUUAAAAAUUAUUAUAUAAAAAUAAAUCACACCAUAUGUCAAUGAAAAAACAAACAAUUUUAAGCAGACUUCAUAUUAAAAAUAAAAUUUAUACCAAUUAUAUAUUAAAUUUAACAUUAACUACAAUUCCUAAAAAUGUACAACUCAUACAAAUUCUUCCCGAACUCUUGCAAAAGAUUUUGAACCGGUUGUGUGGUUCAUAGUUUUCAACUGCCGAUUAUGCUUAUUUUUUUCGGCAAUCUCUUGAAAAAUAAAAGAAUUUAUUAGACAAAUUUCAAGGUAUAAUAAAAUAAAUCAUGAAACGUUUACCAUUGUUUUUUCUUUAUUCCAGUAUGCCUCCAUCGAAAUAUUUCUGUAAUCUUUAACCUCUGCCGCUACAUGUUUCGAAAACGCACUUGAAUUAUAACUAAUACAUUUUCUAGACUAAUCAAAUGAACAAGGCUGUUCUUUCCAGUUACACUCCUUGAUCCUAUAUGAAUACAAUGCACUAAUUUGAUCGUCAAUUUAAAAUAUUUACAGAAGUGGAUACCACAAAAUCUUAUGUUAUACUUAAUGAAAGUGUAAAUAAACUCUUAAGUGUUAGUGAAUCUAUCGUUUUGAUGGGAACCGUCAAACUUGUUUAUAUAUACUUCGAGAUCACAUACUCCAAAAAUUGCAAAAAACAAACAUUUAGAGAUCAAGUAACGAAACAAAACUUUUUUACGGUUAUCAAGGAAAAAUCAAAAUUUAACGGUGAUUUUAACUCCGAUUUUGAUGAUUUUUUUACAGCUACACUCCUUGACCCUAUAUGAAUACAAUGAAUGAAUUCGAUCUUUAAUUUAAAAUAUUUACACUAGUGGAUACCACAAAAUCUUAUAUUAUAUUUAAUGAAAGUAUAAAUAAAUUCUAAGUGUUAGUGAAUCUAUCGUUUUGAUGGGAUACGCAUUCUACGAAACUUUCAACGAUCCAACCAUCAAACUUGUUUAUAUAUGCUUCCAGGUCGCAUACGCCAAAAAUGGCAAAAAACAAACAUUUGAGAUUAAGUAACGGGACAAAACUUUUUGACGGUUAUAAACGAAAAAUCACGAUUUAACGGUUAUUUUAACUCCGAUUUAGAUGAUUUUUUACAGCUACACUCUUUGACCCUAUAUGAAUACAAUGAAUGAAUUCAAUCUUCAAUUUAAAAUAUUUACACUAGUGGAUACCACAAAAUUUUAUGUUAUAUUUAAUGAAAGUAUAAAUAAAUUCUAAGUGUUAGUGAAUCUAUCAUUUUGACAUAGAUAUUUAAAAAAACUAAAAUCUAUGUCGCUUAGAACCGAUGCAUGCUUUAAAAUAUUUAAAAACAAUACUUUGUGUCGCUUAAAGGUGACACCAAUACUUUAUGUCGCUUAAAAGCGACACUGUUUUGUUUAAAGCGACGCUAGUAUUUAAAAUUAUUAAAAUAUAUGUCGGUUAUAAGCGACAUUAAAUGUUUACGUCGGUUUAAAAGCGACGUAAAAAUUUUAUGACGCUUAUAAGCGACAGUAAAUCCGACGUCAUCUUCAGUUAGUGUCACAACUGUCUUAUCCGCCACUAUAUUAUAUUAAACCGACGCCACCUACUGACACUAUAAGACCCUUUUGUAGUAGUGAUAAUGUAAUUUCACAGGUCUUAAUUUUACUGUUUUUUUAUUGAAGCCUCAUCUACAUGUGAUAUUAAAAUACCUCCAUUAUUUAAAAAAAAACCAUUAACAAAAACCUCCCACUCCCUCACGUUCUCCCUCUCUCUCCCUCUCUCCUCCUUAAUAUUUCAAUAAAGCGCCAUACUUUCAUCUUAAAAAAAAAUUAAAAAUUAAAAAAAAAAAGAAAGGAAAUUAAGCUUCAAAAGGUUUUCAAGAUUUAUCAUGUACAAAGCAAAAUUUGCAAUGCAUGCGCAAACUGAAAGCAACUUAUAGGAAAAACGACUAGGAAAGAAAUUUGAUUUCUUCAUUUCAACAUCAUCGUCAGUUUUUUCAAACCGAAUCCCCGGACAAAGUUGAAGAACGGCUUUUCAAACGCUUUGAGAAUCGACGUUGAUGUGAAUUCCUGACGAUCUUGUUUCAAGUGAUCAUGGUGGCGAUGGCGAACCUUGCAGCAGAAGAAAAAAUAGAUUCCCUUCAGAAAUGGGACGAUGCAACUGCAUAAUGUAUGAGCAAUUUACCCUUUCAAUGUUCAAAGUAAAACUCUCUGUAAAUCAACUAUGUUAAACAUUACGUAUUUAAGGGUUCUUGCGUGCAAGCAUACUCCAUACCAGAGAUAACUGUGCAUAUCAAAAAUCAGAAGGCAAAAUAUGAAUCUUGUAGGACAAACCAAAACUAAACAAGUUGUGUUUGGGUUAAUAUUUGAAUAUUGGGCUUGAAUGAAGAAAAGCCCAAGAAUGCCAACUAAAAGGGAGACUUGCCUGAAGCCCAGCAUUAAGCCUAGAAGCAAAUUGAAGCCUUCUCAGCCAAGAUACAAGUCACGUAUCUAUAAUUGAAAUGACAAGUGAUAUGGAGACUAACCUCCUAUCAGCCAAAGAACACUUUCCAGUGACAUUACUAGUGAAAAGUCAAUGACUCACUACUCUCUAAGUGCUUUCGGGCAAAAGAAAAAGGUACAUCAGUCAGGCUAAAUUGUCUAUAAAAGGGAAGACAGGCCCCAGAGACAAAUGACACUCAACCAAUCAAACAAACAAACAUACAAACUCUGCUCUCAAACCAGAUUUGCAUCCAAAAAACUGAAAUCAUCCCAGAUUCAGUCAUUUUAGUGAUAGUUCUUUAGAAAACUAUCUCUUGUCUAGUAUAAAAGCUUUGCUAUCUCCCUUAGUGUUGUAGUAUCGAUUCCCUCGUGCAAACUUGUUUACCAUCCAUCCCUUUUUAGCAUAUAACCCCUGUAAAUUCAAAGAGAAGUGAUUGCAAGAAGUUCAACCUUGCCAAACAAGGUGAAAUCUUGCCUGAAGCUCUUUGUUUGUUUUCUAAAUUAGUAGAUCUAUUGCUUAAUGCAUUUUCCAGCAUGUAUUCAAGUUAUUUCCACCUGUUUUUCUAUUUUAAGAGUCUCAUUUGCAUCUGGAUCUGGUUAGCUUAAUGGAUAUGUUUCCAUUAAGAGCAGUUUAGGAUCAAACAAAUAACUUAAGGGGCUCUGGACUCCCUUCAUUCAAACAUACAGGACCAUGAACUAAAAGUCCUUACUUACAAGGAAAAAAAAAGAACUUAAUACAGACUUAACCCAUCUAUGACAAUCAUUUGAUAACAAGAAGUUGGAGUAACUUGGGGCGCAAGUAAUCAACUUAAAACACACUUGUUCUAGAUCUGUUAUACUGACAUAGCAGUGGCACGCCUAAGCAUUUAGUUAGUUUUGAUUGCGAGUCUCAAGGCCUACACUUAAGACCCCACAAAGGCACCUUUCAAAACUAACUUUAAGCUCUUAUUGCAGUACACCAGGCAAGCAAGAGCUCGACUACCAAACAUAUACAUCUAAAAUGUCAAUGCCUUGGGGAGUUGUGCUGAGGUCCAAUUAGUGUUCUCUAGAGAAAUCUUUGCUCGAACAUUGUUUUGGCACGUCUGGUGGGACCAAUUUAGUCUUGUAUGCAAAGAAGAAGAAAGAAUGAGCGAACCUUCAGGUGGAACACAGAAGAAGGGCCACCCUAGUAUCUACCAAGAUUAAGCAUGACAGAUCAUCCAGAAGAUUUCCCCUCCCUACGAGGACUAGCUAUUCUGGAGAGCACGACUUCAUCUGAGAAGUUAGGAGGAAAUGUGACUAAUGAAGACUUACAAGCCACCAUGGUGCAAGUGUUGAAAAGUAUGGAAAAGAUUGCUCUGGAAACCAGAGGAGAAGUGAGUAGACUUUGUUCCUUAACAGGGAGUCUACAAAGAAGAUUAGAUCCGGAGUAUUCUACUCCAAAAAAUGGUUAUGCCAGGGAAAUAAUGAGAGAGGCAAGCCCUAAGAAAGAACCAGUUAUUCCCCUAUUUCCUUUGCUUGAGGAAAAGAAGGAUAAAGGGAAAAACAAGGAAGGAUCUGGAGUUAUUCAGCCAGUAUUGGAGGAGAUCCUGGAAACAGAAUUGCUCGACCCCCUAUUAUUUUCAUUAGAUAGUAGGGGGCAGAGGGGGCAAGAAAGAAAAAAGUAUGGGAUGCCCCAAUUAAUCGGAGAAUCCAUCAGGAAAGGUGAGCUCACAAUUGUGAACAAACCACCCCCUUAUAGGCCACCACCAUUGGCUAAUAAGGAAUGAGGGGCCAGAUAGAGGAAACCCGAACAAAAAAAGGAAACUUUCUCGGGUAAUGAUCGUAGCCCGAAGUGGGAACCUCCUCAUACCCCACUUAAUAAUACAGCCAACCAGCAACUCAGAGAAGAGUUAGCCGAACUAAGAAAAUGCUUGCAUUUCCCACUUUUAGUGGAGAAGAUUGCAGUGUGUCCUCUUGUUGACCCUAAAAACUACCAAGACUACAUGGCGCGUAGGCCGAGUAACUAAUGAGCUAACUACGUCUUUCGGUUGAUUCGGGGCGUGCCAACUCGUCGGUCGAGCUUGGUUGAUGAAUAAAAUGUGUUGAUGUUGUGUUGAGCGCACGACUGACUUCUCGAUCUUGUGACUGCGGUUGAGGAAAGAACAUGUCUCGGCCUUUGGGUUCUAGAGCCUGAAGAUAAGGCUGCUAAUUUUGCGAAGUUCACAAAUCGUUAGCGUCGGAUUCGGUCACAGUGAUUAUAUUUGUAAGGGUAUAAGCACGCCGAAUCGACACUAGAGUAUAGGGGCACAUAUACUCAAAACAGAUAUAUGUCUUGAUGGUAAAUGUGGUUCGGCUGUCAGAAUGCCGAACUCUAAAGCUUACUUGUGAGUAUCCGAUCAUAAAACAACUCGACGUUCAAUGUGCUGAGCCCUAGUAAACUGUAACACCUCACAUCGCCGAAAAAGCUAAUGAGAUGACAUCUGCCAAUAAAUACCUGAAAGUCUUUCUCGACUGAGACUUGGAUAGACAACCAGUCGGCCUCGACGUAGUGCUGUUUAUCCAAACUGAAGCUGUUCCGCUGUCGGCUGGUUCUACAGCGAUAGUUCUGUUUGUCUAAACUAAAGGUAUCACCGGUUGCCUUCACAGUGCUGUUUAUCCAAACUGAAGAUGUGUCGGCGGAAAAAGAAAAUAAAAAAUCUCAAGGUUGUUGAAAGGUUUCGCGUAGAGCGAGGGUUUGUGCAGGGCAGUUUGUGUGUUGAAUUGGAGAGGGCCCAAUGAUAUCUGUGGUUCUGUAUUUAUAGAAGCAAAUGUUGUGUGGCGCGGCCAGAUAAUUUUGUAGAGUCCAACUGCAACUCUAAUUUGCGGAACUAAACUUGAUCUGCAUUAGAAGCCAAGGCAUAUCAUUCAAAUUGAUUUGUGGGAUUUGCUCCUUAACUUUUCAAACUCAUUAGCUAGAUAAGCAACAACCUAUCUUUUAGAUGUCAUCAUUACCCCUUAUUUUAUGCAAAUAAUUAACAUGCAACAACCUAUCUGAUGACCUCUACGGUGCUGGAAUCAAGGCAUGCAAGUUUAUCUCUUAGCCAUGUAUUUCAACAGGACUCAGCAAAAGGGGCACUGCCUCUAGUAAUUUAAAUGCAAGUUUAACUCUUGAUCUUUCCAUAAAAACUAUCCAGGUGCAAUCAUGCAUUAUCAAAAAAUAUCAACCUGAUCACAUUUCCUAGCCUUCCACGUGUAUGCAUGUUGACUCAUCAACUUAAUAUAAUCACCAUAUUCCAAGAAAAAUCACGUGCAACAACCCCAUCCAUGAAUUCCAAGUCAAUUUGACUUGUACCAACCACUUCUGUAUCAGAAAGAGGACACGUAGGAGAUUGCAUGAAUCUGGGGAUUUAUAUGAUGAUCCCAUUCGAAUUGAAGACAUAUCAGAUCAACUUUUCCAAACAUCCUCUGGAUAUAUCAAAUAUUAGGUUUAAAUAUCCCAGUUAAUAUUAAGAGAUAAUAUCAUGAUUAAAAUCAUAAUACUAUUUUCUCAAUAAUAACUCAAAUUCAUUUCAACCACUUUAUCAUUCAACGGUCUAAUAUUCGCUUGUUCAAUGGCCUCGAUUGUUCGGGAUGAUGGUGUAAUUUUGGGUCCAAACACCUCUAGAGAUCACAUUUUCAAGUUCUCCAACCAUUGUGUGGUGUUUGAAGACAAUCCUAACUAUAAGUUAAGAUUGUUUGGGAACUCGUUGGUUGGCCUAGCAUCUCAGUGGUAUUCUCUGUUGCCCCCUAAUUUUAUUGCUAACUUGGGGCAAAUGGAGAUGGCUUUUCAUGAACAAUUUUAUAGGGUGGAGCCUGAGAUGACUAUCAAUGAUCUAGUGGAGGUGAAGCAAUAUGAGCAUGAGUCUACAGAAGACUUCAUGAUGAGGUUUAGAAAGACAAGGAUAAGGUGCCAAUUCCCUAUCAAUCCUGCCCAACUUAUAUCCAUUGCUCAGAAGGCAUUGAGGCUGCCUUUGAGGAAAAAGUUUUAUGAUGUAUAGUUCAAUGAGCUGCAAGAAUUAGUGAUUGAUGCCACAAAGUAAGAGAAGCUGUUGGUUGAAGAGCAACAAUUGAAACACUCAUCUAAGGUGCCUCCUUUCUAUAAAAAUAAAGCUGCAAUUCACCAAGUAGAGUUUGAAGGUAAAGCUAGAAGAAAGUGAUGGUCAUGGAGGAAAAUGAAUUGAAAUGUGUGCAGUAGAGAUGACCACUCCCUUUAAACCUUUAAUGGUAAAAAGGUUAGUCCAGCCAAUCAAGGAUCAGAAAGUGGUGAUGAAUGAUGGUGGGUUUAUCCCUAUAAAACCCCCUAAAUACCAGAGUUAUUCUUUUGAUUUAACCAAGACCUCAGAAAUCUAUGAAGAAUUGGUGCGGACAAGAGUAAUUGUGCCCGACAACACCAAAAAGAUGCCUAAACCAGAAGAAUUAAGAGGAAAUAAGUAUUAUAAGCCGCACUAUACCUUCAACCAUUCCAUAACUAACUGUGUCCAGUUCAUGGAUUGGAUACAAUACCUCAUAAUCAAGGGAAAAUUGCUCUUAGAGAAACCCUAGGCUAAUAUGAUGGUUGACACGGAUCCCUUCCCAGAAGCCCCAAUAAACAUGAUCAACCUGACUUGGGCUGAGAAAGGGAAAGGAAAAGUCACUUGGGAAGUAAAAGCAGAAAGAAGGCAAUUUGACAGGCCUACAGAAGGAGCUAUCAAGUUGCCCGAGAAACCCAAAGCAGCCAUAGUUAAAGGACUGGUAUUGUGUAAUAAGUAUCAAUGUGAAUGUGAGCUAGAAGUCCCAGCAUCAUGAGCUAUUAUUGAUCAAGAGUUGAUAAAAAAAAAGAGAGAAAAAAAAGCAAGAAGCCCGCACAAGCAUAAUACGGGCAGCUGAGAAUGAGACUUCCAGAAAUGUUUUCCAAAGAUUAAGAGGAGAUUUUAACCUAAAAAACUUGUUCGAGGUAUUCAGGAACCACGAAACCUCGGAAGAGGUAGAAGAUAAAGAAGCCAAAAUACCAAAAUGGGUGGAGGUUAGGCCUCCUCAACCAAGUUAUGAAGGUGGUGAUGUCAGGAUGAAAGGAAGAACAAAGGGCGUAGUAUCCCCAAUCACCAAGAAGGAUUCUGCCCAACUCGGGCGGAAAUGAUGGGAGACUGGUCAAGGAAAUGGGAGCUUAUAUGAUUAUGAGAGUCCAAAGCCCAGCUGCCCGCUGCAGAAGUUUGUAUGAUAAACCUCUAGCCCGCGUUCAUAGCGGUCACUCCUUGCUCCCCAUGCUAGAUCCCUUGGCUGGAUGCAACUGAUAAAUUUCUCUUUGCAAAAGGCACUGGCGUCCUCCCCGAAGGCAUCCUGGAAAGCUUGGUCGGAAAACCAAUGAUAUCUUCUUAGUACUAAAGCUCCACACUUCAAGUCUGCCCGAGUCCUGCAAACUCUGAAGAAGUAGAGGCAAGAGAAUGUGGAGUGAUUGGUGGGUGAAGCCUCGACUAGAAUGCGGGCAGGAGCCACUCCUUUAUGAAACUCGACAUUGGGUGCCCGAAGCUCGGGAAAGUACCACUGCAACCAUAACUGGACCAUUCAGGUUGGCCUAUUGAGGUUGGUUUCAAAUGGUUCACCCUUAGUCAUUUCAAACAGAAGAUGGUAAAGAUGGGCAAGGAGAAAAUGGCACGUGGCCACGUCAUCAAAAUUAUGUAGAGCUUCCACCAAAGGGAUCCAUUCAACCUUUACUCCUUUGGACUUGUUGGGGAAGAUGUGCUUGUUGAGCCAGUACAACAAGAAGUACAUAUGUUUUUAAUCUUUGUUGGCAUUAGAAGAUGAAGGCCCAAAAAUCUUCUUAACAAACGGGAUAAAGCUUGGAAAGGAAGUCCCAUAACUAUUGAAAGUAGCAGGGUUGUACCCUAACUGAGUUAUGAGAUCAGAGGUGCCCGAGCUCUCAGCAGUCAGGCGAGAAGAGGGAGACCAGUUAUGGGUGACGUCUACGACUCUGCCCGAUGGCCUUAGCCUGAAGACUUAAGCCAUGUCAAGAAUGGUCGGGGAUAUGAGACCCAUCCCAAAAUCGAAGGUGUUGGUCCCCGAAUUCCAGAAUAUAAAAGUUGUGGUCAGUAACUCAGGCUUGGCAAUUAUGGUGGUCUUAAAGAGCAUUAUCAGCUCAUAUAUAUGUUAUUGUUCAUCCACUUUUGCUUGAAAGUAGGCUCGAGCUUGUUUAUCCACUACGUCCAGCCUUUGUAUUUCAUCAAAGGAAAACCCCUACGAUGGUUCGACCACUUGGAGGCCGAAAUGCCCGACUUAGCCAAGUACGAGGUUGAGAAUGAACCAGGUGGCCUUGGGCAUGUUGUUUUCCACUGAAAUAGGGACCUUGGAGGUCCAGGUAGGUCUUAGAGAAUGUACUCCCUCUUCAUCGAAGAAAAGAGAAGUAUUGAGGCCAGCCCGAGGGCGAUGAAGGCCGUUGAGCAAAUGGUGCAUGGUAGCAAUCCCUUCGCAAGACUCAUAUGCAGAUUGAAUAGUUUUGGGUGCCAUUGAGUUUGGAAGAAAUAUGAGAAGAAGAUUGGGAAUAAGGGGCAAGAAUUGAGAGCAAAAGAAUUCUAAAGGUUUUGAGAAAUCUGGGAUUUUGGAAGCUCGGAGGAUUAAAAUUGCUAAGGUACUUGGCCAAAGGAUUUAAGUGAAGAUUAUAUAGUAGACAAUUAUUUAACAUUUAAAAUAGUAGGUUAGUGCAAAUGUUUAGUUAACCAACGACUGUUUUAAAUGGUGCAAGUCCCGAGUAAAAGCAUGCGACAGCUGUUGAAUCAUCAUUAAUGCCUCGAUUUGCAGACUCAACAAUGAUUAAAGGGGGCAUUAUUUGGGUUAAUAUUUGAAUAUUGGGCUUGAAUGAAGGAAAGCCCAAGGAUGCCAACUAAAAGAGAGACUUGCCCAAAGCCCAGCAUCAAGCCCAGAAACAAAUUGAAGCCUUCUCAGCCAAGAUACAAGCCACAUGUCUAUAAUUGAAAUGACAAGUAAUGGAGACUGACCUACUAUCAGCCAAAGAACACUUUCCAAUGGCAUUACUAGUAAAAAGUUGAUGACUCACUACCCUCCAAGUGCUUUCGGGUAAGAGCAAAAGCUACAACAAUCAUGCCAAAUUGUUUAUAAAAGGGAAGACAAAACCCAGAGACAAAGGACACUUAACUAAUCAAACAAACAAACAUAGAAACUUUGCUAUCAAACCAGAUUUGCAUCCAAAAAACUAAAAUCAUCCCAGAUUCAGUAUUUUUAGCGAUAGUUCUUUAGAAAAGCUAUCUCUUGUCUAGUAUAAAAGCUUUGCUACCUCCCUUAGUAUUGUAGUAUUGAUUCCCUCGUGUAAACUUGUUUACCAUCCAUCCCUUUUUAGCAUAUAACCCCUGUAAAUUCAAAGAGAAAUGACUGCAAGAAGUUCAACCUUGCCAGACAAGGUGAAAUCUUGCCCGAAGCUCUUUGUUUGUUUUCUAAUUUAGUAGAUCUAUUGCUUAAUGUAUUCUCCAGCAUGUAUUCAAGUUAUUUCCACUUGUUUUUCUAUUUUAAGAGUCCCAUUUGCAUCUAGAUUUGGUUAGCUUAAUGGAUAUGUUUCCAUUAAGAGCAGUUUAGGAUCAAACAAAUAACUUAAGGGGCUCUGGACUCCCUUCAUUCAAACAUACAAGACCAUGAACUAAAAGUCCUUGCUUACAAGGCAAGAAAAAGAACUUAAUACAGACUUAACCCAUAUGUGACAAUCCUUUGAUAACAAGAAGUUAGGGUAACUUGGGGCUCAAGUAAUCAACUUAAAACACACUUGUUCUACAUCUGCUAUACUGAGAUAGCAGUGGCACGUCUAAGCAUUUAGUUAGUUUUGAUUGCGAGCCUCAAGGCCUACACCUAAGGCCCCACAAAGGCACCUUUCAAAACUAACUUUAAGUUCUUAUUGUAGCACACCAGGCAAGCAAGAGCUCGACUACCAAACAUAAACAUCUAAAGUGCCAAUUCCUUGGGGAGCUAUGCUGAGGUCCAAGGAGUGUUAUCCAGAGAAAUCUUUGCCCGAACAAGUUGUUCUAAAUAUUUAAUUCAUUACAUCAAAGAUGAAGACAUGGAAUUUGGGUUUUAGGGUUUCUCAAAACAAUCAUCAGAAGAGUUUACGCACGCGAUGUAUCAUGAACUACUCUCGUUAAUCUAUUCUUCAUUAAAGACUGAAAAAAUUACGAAUUGUAGGCCUUCGAUUUCUUCCCUUCGACUUCAGGGGGCGGUUUCUCCUUGAAUGGUAGGAACUCCUUUCCACCCAUGAAAGGUUGAAGAACUUUUGGUACGUUUACACCCUCUUCAGUCUGGUAGUUCUCGAGAAUGCAGCAUACAGUUCUCUCAGUCGCUGUAAGAGUCGAGUUCAAUAAGUGAACAUAUUGCUUUGUCUGCUCUUUGCUCUGCAAAAGAACAAGGGCACAAUGAGUAAAAAUAUAAUAUUUCAAUAGGUAACCAUACAUUCUAUGUUUUUUUAUAUAGGAAACGGUAGACCAUACAUUCUAUGUUCAAUUAACACCAUAUGAACAGAAUUUUUCCUAAAUUUGAUCAGAGCAUACAGUUCAAUGGUAUAUGACCUACUGUAAAAGUAUUAUUCAUCUUAUUUUCAAUUAAAUUUCCGAGGCACGAAUUAUAAAUCUUUACGUUAAUUAGGAGUACAUUCCGCAGUAAACAGAAAUGUGAAAUAAUGUCGGAUUUCCGAGGACAUACCUUUUUCUGCCCAUAUCGAAUUUCUAACUUUCUUGACUGGUAGUCCGUACAGUUUGAACAAGAAGCCAGCAUUUUUGCUUAAAGAGAAGCUGAAGGGAGACAAAAACAGCAUUUUUUGAUCUACGGAAGCCAUGUUCAUCACAAGGAAUCAAGCCAUUGGCCUUCUGUUGAUUUUCUUGGGCAUCUCCGGCUUGCGCGACGACGGCGUAUCCGGAGCUAGAUGUUUAAACGAGAAGGUGGAGAAUCUGGGGAAGCCUCGAGUUUUCAACUCAAUUGGAGCAGAUGAAGGUUUUUUUGCCACAAGCAACAGAAAAGUGCCG
RNAcentral lists this long non-coding RNA (14193 nucleotides) under Malus domestica (apple). RNAcentral describes it as "long non-coding RNA (MDOM_LNC004123)". The record is from RNAcentral. Lineage: Eukaryota; Viridiplantae; Streptophyta; Magnoliopsida; Rosales; Rosaceae.